GAUGAACGCUGGCGGCGUGCCUAAUACAUGCAAGUCGAGCGAACAGAUGAGGAGCUUGCUCCUCUGACGUUAGCGGCGGACGGGUGAGUAACACGUGGAUAACCUACCUAUAAGACUGGGAUAACUUCGGGAAACCGGAGCUAAUACCGGAUAAUAUAUUGAACCGCAUGGUUCAAUAGUGAAAGACGGUUUUGCUGUCACUUAUAGAUGGAUCCGCGCCGCAUUAGCUAGUUGGUAAGGUAACGGCUUACCAAGGCAACGAUGCGUAGCCGACCUGAGAGGGUGAUCGGCCACACUGGAACUGAGACACGGUCCAGACUCCUACGGGAGGCAGCAGUAGGGAAUCUUCCGCAGUGGGCGAAAGCCUGACGGAGCAACGCCGCGUGAGUGAUGAAGGUCUUCGGAUCGUAAAACUCUGUUAUUAGGGAAGAACAAAUGUGUAAGUAACGAUGCACGUCUUGACGGUACCUAAUCAGAAAGCCACGGCUAACUACGU
RNAcentral lists this ribosomal RNA (496 nucleotides) under uncultured bacterium. RNAcentral's name for it is "partial 16S ribosomal RNA". It matches the Rfam family "Bacterial small subunit ribosomal RNA", at positions 28 to 506 of the family's 1533-position model. The record is from RNAcentral.